UUGUGGACCCACCUGAUUCCAUGUCGAACUCAGAAGUGAAACACAAUAGCGCCGAUGGUAGUGUGGGGCUUCCCCAUGUGAGAGUAGGACAUCGUCAGGCU
RNAcentral lists this ribosomal RNA (101 nucleotides) under Vibrio crassostreae. Lineage: Bacteria; Pseudomonadati; Pseudomonadota; Gammaproteobacteria; Vibrionales; Vibrionaceae. The record is from RNAcentral.